GCCACAGCGAUCGUUGGGUGAUAUCCGCAGCCAGGACUGCUUCUGUUUUGGUGCAACGACUAAGUCGUAAUGGCCGGCCCUGCCGGUAAAGAGAUAGUCUCAAUCUCGUGGGGAGACCCAUGACAGCUUUUGCAUUAAAUCAGUUAUCGUUUAUUUGAUAAUACCUUACCACUUGGAUAACUGUGGUAAUUCUAGAGCUAAUACAUGCUAAAAACCCCGACUUCGGAAGGGGUGUAUUUAUUAGAUAAAAAACCAAUGCCCUUCGGGGCUCCUUGGUGAUUCAUAAUAACUUAACGAAUCGCAUGGCCUUGCGCCGGCGAUGGUUCAUUCAAAUUUCUGCCCUAUCAACUUUCGAUGGUAGGAUAGUGGCCUACCAUGGUCUUAACGGGUAACGGGGAAUUAGGGUUCGAUUCCGGAGAGGGAGCCUGAGAAACGGCUACCACAUCCAAGGAAGGCAGCAGGCGCGCAAAUUACCCAAUCCCAAUCCGGGGAGGUAGUGACAAUAAAUACUGAUACAGGGCUCUUUCGGGUCUUGUAAUUGGAAUGAGAAAAAUCUAAAUCCCUUAACGAGGAACAAUUGGAGGGCAAGUCUGGUGCCAGCAGCCGCGGUAAUUCCAGCUCCAAUAGCGUAUAUUAAAGUUGUUGCAGUUAAAAAGCUCGUAGUUGAACCUUGGGUCUGGCUGAUCUGUCCUCCUAAUCGAGCGCAC
This 707-nucleotide ribosomal RNA is filed under the name Chaetothyriales sp. RNAcentral describes it as "bacterial SSU rRNA". It matches the Rfam family "Eukaryotic small subunit ribosomal RNA", at positions 68 to 677 of the family's 1831-position model. The record is from RNAcentral. Lineage: Eukaryota; Fungi; Ascomycota; Eurotiomycetes; Chaetothyriales.